This 380-nucleotide ribosomal RNA is filed under the name uncultured eukaryote. Its description in RNAcentral is "partial 18S ribosomal RNA". It matches the Rfam family "Eukaryotic small subunit ribosomal RNA", at positions 592 to 976 of the family's 1831-position model. The record is from RNAcentral.
CAAUAGCGUAUAUUAAAGUUGUUGCAGUUAAAAAGCUCGUAGUUGGAUUUGUGGCGUACGGUGUGUUCCGGGCACUUGUUGUCUGAGUAACCUGCUGUUGCCAUCCUUGGGUGGAACCUGUGUGGCAUUAGGUUGUCGUGCAGGGGAUGCCCAUCAUUUACUGUGAAAAAAUUAGAGUGUUCAAAGCAGGCUUAUGCCGUUGAAUAUAUCAGCAUGGAAUAAUGAGAUAGGACUUUUUUGCUAUUUUGUUGGUUUGCGCAAGAAGGUAAUGAUUAAUAGGGACAGUUGGGGGUAUUCGUAUUCCAUUGUCAGAGGUGAAAUUCUUGGAUUUUUGGAAGACGAACUACUGCGAAAGCAUUUACCAAGGAUGUUUUCAUUAA